RNAcentral lists this ribosomal RNA (301 nucleotides) under uncultured bacterium. Its description in RNAcentral is "partial 16S ribosomal RNA". It matches the Rfam family "Bacterial small subunit ribosomal RNA", at positions 509 to 807 of the family's 1533-position model. The record is from RNAcentral.
CAGUCGCCGCGGUAAUACAGAGGAUGCAAGCGUUAUCCGGAAUGAUUGGGCGUAAAGCGUCUGUAGGUGGCUUUUCAAGUCCGCCGUCAAAUCCCAGGGCUCAACCCUGGACAGGCGGUGGAAACUACCAAGCUGGAGUACGGUAGGGGCAGAGGGAAUUUCCAGUGGAGCGGUGAAAUGCGUUGAGAUCGAAAAGAGCACCAACAGCGAAAGCACUCUGCUGGGACGACACUGACACUAAGAGACGAAAGCUAGGGGAGCAAAUGGGAUUAGAUACCCCCGUAGUCCCUGUCUCUUAUAC